UACGUAGGUGGCAAGCGUUGUCCGGAAUUAUUGGGCGUAAAGCGCGCGCAGGCGGUCCUUUAAGUCUGAUGUGAAAGCCCACGGCUCAACCGUGGAGGGUCAUUGGAAACUGGGGGACUUGAGUGCAGGAGAGAAGAGUGGAAUUCCACGUGUAGCGGUGAAAUGCGUAGAUAUCUGGAGGAACACCGGUGGCGAAGGCGGGUUGCUGGGCCGACACUGACGCUGAGGCGCGAAAGCUAGGGGAGCGAACGGG
Molecule: ribosomal RNA, 253 nt
Filed under: uncultured bacterium
Lineage: Bacteria
Description: partial 16S ribosomal RNA
Rfam family: Bacterial small subunit ribosomal RNA
Source: RNAcentral